GAUGAAGAACGCAGCGAAAUGCGAUACGUAAUUUGAAUUGCAGAAUUCAGUGAAUCAUCGAGUCUUUGAACGCACAUUGCGCCCCCUGGUAUUCCGGGGGGCAUGCCUGUCCGAGCGUCAUUGCUGCCCUCAAGCACGGCUUGUGUGUUGGGCCUCCGUCCUCCUCCCGGGGGACGGGCCCGAAAGGCAGCGGCGGCACCGCGUCCGGUCCUCGAGCGUAUGGGGCUUCGUCACCCGCUCUUGUAGGCCCGGCCGGCGCUUGCCGACACAUCAAUCUUUUUUCCAGGUUGACCUCGGAUCAGGUAGGGAUACCCGCUGAACUUAAGCAUAUCAAUAAGCGGAGGA
This 345-nucleotide unclassified non-coding RNA is filed under the name soil metagenome. RNAcentral describes it as "partial contains 5.8S ribosomal RNA, internal transcribed spacer 2, and large subunit ribosomal RNA". The stretch from base 1 to 120 matches the Rfam family "5.8S ribosomal RNA", at positions 35 to 154 of the family's 154-position model. The record is from RNAcentral.